Molecule: non-coding RNA, 85 nt
Filed under: uncultured Treponema sp.
Lineage: Bacteria; Pseudomonadati; Spirochaetota; Spirochaetia; Treponematales; Treponemataceae
Description: Glycine riboswitch
Rfam family: Glycine riboswitch aptamer
About the family: This family represents the bacterial glycine riboswitch.
Source: RNAcentral
AAUUCUCUGGAGAGUCCUCAAAGAAGAGGCGCCGAAGGGUUAAGACUAUUAAAGUCAAUAUCUCAGGCAUAAGGGACAGAGUAAU